This 253-nucleotide ribosomal RNA is filed under the name uncultured bacterium. RNAcentral's name for it is "partial 16S ribosomal RNA". It matches the Rfam family "Bacterial small subunit ribosomal RNA", at positions 524 to 776 of the family's 1533-position model. The record is from RNAcentral.
UACGUAGGGGGCAAGCGUUGUCCGGAUUUAUUGGGCGUAAAGAGCGUGUAGGCGGCCAGGUAGGUCCGUUGUGAAAACUGGAGGCUUAACCUCCAGCUGUCGAUGGAAACCAUCUGGCUAGAGUCCGGAAGAGGUGAGUGGAAUUCCGAGUGUAGAGGUGAAAUUCGUAGAUAUUCGGAGGAACACCAGUGGCGAAGGCGGCUCACUGGUCCAUUACUGACGCUGAGGUGCGAAAGCGUGGGGAGCAAACAGG